ACAAAACACAGCUAAGCUAUGCUAUUACAACCAAACAUGGCAACCCAUGCUUGAACCUCUUCUAUCCCAUAGCUUACUCUGACUGAACUCUGGCUUGACAUACUCUGGCCCUGCAAAACUGGGUUAAGGGAAUGGGGUGAGCUACAAGAGCCCAGUGAGUAGAAACAGAGAAAAACAUUUGAUUUAGUUCCUCCAUUUUUAGGUAUAUUAUUAUGCCUUUUAUUGUUCCACCCUUUUUAUGUAUUUUAUUAUAAAGACAUUUUAAAUCAAUUCAAUUAUUCUUCUUAUUCAUGCCUUCAUGAAAUGCGUCAUAUCACAAUUAUAUCACAACAAACAUCUCACCCCCGCUUGAGUUCAUGCUAGCAAAUCUCUUCCUCUUGCGGGUGAUUUUAGAGGGUUCACGUAACGUCUUUCCCCUCAGGGUUAGACAUGACCCCAACGUUCCCUCUGUCAAAACUUGGCCCCGAAGGAGCUCUCAUGGGGCUUUCCUACAUGUACUCGCCCGAUUGACAAAGACUCAUUGACAGACUUGCGGGCUAUUGAGGUCGCCUUGNNN
RNAcentral lists this long non-coding RNA (556 nucleotides) under Manihot esculenta (cassava). RNAcentral describes it as "long non-coding RNA (MESC_LNC004661)". The record is from RNAcentral. Lineage: Eukaryota; Viridiplantae; Streptophyta; Magnoliopsida; Malpighiales; Euphorbiaceae.